AGUGAACGCUGGCGGUAGGCCUAACACAUGCAAGUCGAACGGCAGCACAGUAAGAGCUUGCUCUUACGGGUGGCGAGUGGCGGACGGGUGAGGAAUACAUCGGAAUCUACUUUUUCGUGGGGGAUAACGUAGGGAAACUUACGCUAAUACCGCAUACGACCUACGGGUGAAAGCAGGGGAUCUUCGGACCUUGCGCGAUUGGAUGAGCCGAUGUCGGAUUAGCUAGUUGGCGGGGUAAAGGCCCACCAAGGCGACGAUCCGUAGCUGGCCUGAGAGGAUGAUCAGCCACACUGGAACUGAGACACGGUCCAGACUCCUACGGGAGGCAGCAGUGGGGAAUAUUGGACAAUGGGCGCAAGCCUGAUCCAGCCAUACCGCGUGGGUGAAGAAGGCCUUCGGGUUGUAAAGCCCUUUUGUUGGGAAAGAAAAGCAGCAGGUUAAUACCCCGCUGUUCUGACGGUACCCAAAGAAUAAGCACCGGCUAACUUCGUG
RNAcentral lists this ribosomal RNA (492 nucleotides) under uncultured bacterium. Its description in RNAcentral is "partial 16S ribosomal RNA". It matches the Rfam family "Bacterial small subunit ribosomal RNA", at positions 29 to 507 of the family's 1533-position model. The record is from RNAcentral.